RNAcentral lists this ribosomal RNA (267 nucleotides) under uncultured bacterium. RNAcentral describes it as "partial 16S ribosomal RNA". The record is from RNAcentral.
CUGCUGCCUUCCGUAGGAGUUUGGACCGUGUCUCAGUUCCAAUGUGGGGGACCUUCCUCUCAGAGCCCCUACUGAUCGUCGCCCCGGUGGGCCGUUACCCCGCCGGCAAGCUAAUCAGACGCAUCCCCAUCCUUUACCGGCCGAAGCCUUUGGUCAUGAAAAUAUGCAUCAACAUGACAACAUACGGUAUUAAUCCGCCUUUCGACGGGCUGUCCCAUAGUAAAGGGCAGGUUGGAUACGCGUUACUCACCCGUGCGCCGGUCGCCA